RNAcentral lists this ribosomal RNA (1444 nucleotides) under uncultured organism. RNAcentral describes it as "16S ribosomal RNA". It matches the Rfam family "Bacterial small subunit ribosomal RNA". The record is from RNAcentral.
GGCGGCGUGCUUAACACAUGCAAGUCGAACGGAAAGGCCCUGCUUUUGUGGGGUGCUCGAGUGGCGAACGGGUGAGUAACACGUGAGUAACCUGCCCUUGACUUUGGGAUAACUUCAGGAAACUGGGGCUAAUACCGGAUAGGAGCUCCUGCUGCAUGGUGGGGGUUGGAAAGUUUCGGCGGUUGGGGAUGGACUCGCGGCUUAUCAGCUUGUUGGUGGGGUAGUGGCUUACCAAGGCUUUGACGGGUAGCCGGCCUGAGAGGGUGACCGGCCACAUUGGGACUGAGAUACGGCCCAGACUCCUACGGGAGGCAGCAGUGGGGAAUAUUGCACAAUGGGCGAAAGCCUGAUGCAGCAACGCCGCGUGCGGGAUGACGGCCUUCGGGUUGUAAACCGCUUUCGCCUGUGACGAAGCGUGAGUGACGGUAAUGGGUAAAGAAGCACCGGCUAACUACGUGCCAGCAGCCGCGGUGAUACGUAGGGUGCGAGCGUUGUCCGGAUUUAUUGGGCGUAAAGGGCUCGUAGGUGGUUGAUCGCGUCGGAAGUGUAAUCUUGGGGCUUAACCCUGAGCGUGCUUUCGAUACGGGUUGACUUGAGGAAGGUAGGGGAGAAUGGAAUUCCUGGUGGAGCGGUGGAAUGCGCAGAUAUCAGGAGGAACACCAGUGGCGAAGGCGGUUCUCUGGGCCUUUCCUGACGCUGAGGAGCGAAAGCGUGGGGAGCGAACAGGCUUAGAUACCCUGGUAGUCCACGCUGUAAACGGUGGGUACUAGGUGUGGGGUCCAUUCCACGGGUUCCGUGCCGUAGCUAACGCUUUAAGUACCCCGCCUGGGGAGUACGGCCGCAAGGCUAAAACUCAAAGGAAUUGACGGGGCCCCGCACAAGCGGCGGAGCAUGCGGAUUAAUUCGAUGCAACGCGUAGAACCUUACCUGGGUUUGACAUGGAUCGGGAGUGCUCAGAGAUGGGUGUGCCUCUUUUGGGGUCGGUUCACAGGUGGUGCAUGCCUGUCGUCAGCUCGUGUCGUGAGAUGUUGGGUUAAGUCCCGCAACGAGCGCAACCCUUGUUCACUGUUGCCAGCACGUUAUGGUGGGGACUCAGUGGAGACCGCCGGGGUCAACUCGGAGGAAGGUGGGGAUGACGUCAAGUCCUCAUGCCCCUUAUGUCCAGGGCUUCACGCAUGCUACAAUGGCUGGUACAGAGAGUGGCGAGCCUGUGAGGGUGAGCGAAUCUCGGAAAGCCGGUCCCAGUUCGGAUUGGGGUCUGCAACUCGACCUCAUGAAGUCGGAGUCGCUAGUAAUCGCAGAUCAGCAACGCUGCGGUGAAUACGUUCCCGGGGCUUGUACACACCGCCCGUCAAGUCAUGAAAGUUGGUAACACCCGAAGCCGGUGGCCUAACCGUUGUGGGGGAGCCGUCGAAGGUGGGACUGGUGAUUAGGACUAAGUCGU